RNAcentral lists this long non-coding RNA (1496 nucleotides) under Homo sapiens (human). RNAcentral's name for it is "non-protein coding LINC00609:13". Lineage: Eukaryota; Metazoa; Chordata; Mammalia; Primates; Hominidae. The record is from RNAcentral.
AUCCACCUCGGCUCCUGGUUGCAGCAACUGCUGUGGCAGUAUGUGGAGGUAGGGAGGGGUUCUCACUCUCUGCUUGUAAGCCUGAGCACAGAGUUUGUGCUGCUGCUGGGGGCAGGAUUGCUUCUCACAGCCCCAGACAGGGAAGCUCUCAGGCUCUAGAAAGCAUACACUUUAUUUUCCUUUGUCCGGGGCUGCCUUUUUUGUGCAGUGCAAUUUUCCAGGAUUUCAUGGAUUUCUUUUUGAUUGGGAUCUGUUGUUGCGGAGUAGUACUCCCUGUGAGCUAGAGUACUGGGGACCCUACAGCACCUUUGGGGCCAGCCAGUGCUGUGCCACUGUAGCCCUCUGGGUGGACACUGGGGGAUGUCAGUGAAGGCUCCUGGGAUGUGGACAGAUGGGAGCUGUAGUUCCCAGGGCAGGAUGCAGUCUCAUGAUGGCUGUGCUCUCCCAGUAGUGCCCUGUUGCAGCUGCUUAGGUCUCAGGGGGUGUGAGUGACCCAGUAUGAAUUCCCUGUCAGUGUAAUGUCCUUGCAGGGUCUGCAGGUCAUUCCCCAUGCUAGCAUCAGGGUUUGUGUGGUUAGAGGAGCUUCCCAUGGCUGGGGUUACAGUAGUUUGUUGUGGGGAGAAUUGGACCACUGAUGUUCUCUCACUUACCCUUCCCCACAAUAGCGAGCACCUCUGGCUCCCAACUUCUCCUGACUGAGCUGGCCACUCGCUUCCUUCUCCUCUGUGCCUCAGGCGCUUGCUGAGACUUCUCUGUUGGACUCUAGUGCUCUCUCCUGGAUGUUCUAUUCGAGGUGUGCUUAUCUCUUCAUAAUUUUGGGUCUUCUUUCUGGAGAGGGUGAGUGUCCAAUGUCUCUAGUCAGCCAUCUUGAACCUGAAUCCUCAAUAGAGUAUUUCUAUUUUAAGACUGGGGAGAGUAUAUGGAUUUUAAGAACUUUUGCAGUAAUCAUAUUGGUGGUAAUAUUAAUAUGAUUAUUCUGAGAUUUGUGUGUGUGUAGUAUGAGGUAAAAACAAGUGAGUAAUUAUGGAAUAUACUAAUUCCAUGAUCCUCUGCAUCUUUGAGAACCAGAAUUCUCAUAUAGCAAAAGGAGAUACAGAUAUAAUAGAAAACAGGUUACAUAAAAUUGAGUUGAACUUGGAAUGAUCAAUGUGGAUGCAUCAGGCAUUUUAUUUAUAUUUUCUAAUUCUACCUACUGUAUAGGCCUGAAAACAAUGAUCAACCCAGAAGGAAUGAGUAUCCUUUGUGCGUGCACAGAUUGUGGAACAAUCUACAAUUCUCACCACAAUUUCUCAUUUACAAAAAAGGGCUUCUUAGAGAAAUGGUUGAUUCCAGGACUUAGGCAAGAAAUGAAUAUGACAAGCCUGGAAUGUCUUAUAUUAUCAGAAAGAAAACUACUAGGGUCUCAUUGUAUAUUACUAGGGGCAUGUCAAAAGGAUUCAGAGGACAGGUUUAAAGCACUUCUAAGCCAAAGAUGGGACAAUUUGAGCUCCAAUAAU